CACAGGCCUGACUCUGGGGUCUCCUCUGGCCCUCUGGGCCCUGCCGGUGCUGUCAUCACUCACCUGCUGAGAGCUUUCCUAAAGCCAAGAGGGCCCUCUCUUGAUGCCACCUGGCUGAGGCUAGGGCGCUGCCUGGCUUUGGAGGAGAAGGCGGGGGCUGGGAAACGGACACAUUUUGUGUUUCCAGAGACCAGGUGUUCCCAAAGUUCGCCUGGCCUUUUGUUAUGGGGCUCUUUCGGUGAGCUAAGGGGGCCCUGGGAGGGACUGUGCUGUGUGAGAAUGGGGGACUGGAGGAGCCGGGCAGAGCUUUAGGUGGGGGAACCCUAGUGCAGUGGGAGAGCAGGAGGCCUCCCGGAGGCCGGCUGGGAGAGGCUCCUGCAAGUUUUGUCACUGGGAAGUGCCUCUUCCCCACAGCUGUGAUCCUCACCGCCCUCUAGCCUAGUGCCUCCCUCUCUGUCACCCCUUCAGCCUGGGAACCCAAGGCCACAGGAAGCCAGGGGCUGCCUCGCAGAAGGAUGACCUGGCUCUCCACUGCCCGGCAGGGGGCGCCCCACAGCAUCUGCCCCGCUCCUUUUAGGUGUGGGACAGUGUGGUCAGGACCUGGUCCAGGCCUUCUGGCCACGGGUGGGGGAGGGGCAGCCUAGCGUCCCCACCCCCAGAGGUUCCUUAGCUGAGUUUGUUUGCCAGGGUGACCUGUUUAAUCAUCUCAUUUUCUGGUGGCCGUUUAUUCCUCGUUUCCACGGUUACGGCCCCAUUAAGGGGAGAAGCAAUAAGGCGGUGAGUCAAACAGGUAAUAAAAACAUGCAGAGCCCCUGUGCACCAAGAGAGGGUGGCGGGGAGGGGCGCAGUGAGCUGAGACGGCCUGGGGGGCAGCCCAGGUGACAUCCUACCUGCCUCGUCCUCCAGAGGUCCGAGUGCCCCCAAGACCCAGUCCUCAGCUUACCCGUCCCCAGCCCUUGGUCCCUUGGGCAACAGGCUGUCCCGGGUAAAACAGGAAGGAGAAAGGGGAGAGGGGGCGUGAUACAAGCACCCCCAGGGCUGCCCCACAGUUGGUGUGUGACCUGUUUCCAGGCCCCACCUCGUGCUCCCUUGGCAGGGGCAGGGGAUGAUUUCUGACAUUGGUUUGAGCUCUAGAAUUUUUUUUCUGCCAACUUUAUCAGAAAGCAUAUUUGUGGUGAGUGCUGCUAACAGGGCCAGUCCGGUGAGUAAAUAUUCCUGGUGUGGACGGCCCUGUGACCUUGAGAGGGAAGAGUACAGUGGUGCAGCCAAGGGCAUAUAAGGAGAGGAGAGGACGGCCAGGCAGCCAUGGGCCCCCCGUGCUGGGUGGGGAGCCCUUCCUGGGAAGGGGUCAGGUGGGGGCCACGGGGUCAGGUUGGCCCCAGUAGCCUCUUCCUAGCAGCAUGGUCUGCCUCAGGCCCCAGUGACACCAGCUGGAGCUGGGUUGUGUGACUUGCUGGUUGGGGGACAGGCCGGCAGCUGCCCCUGUGGGCUCCCUUCCUCUAGUAAAUGGAAGCUGAAAUGAAAAGUCAGCCUCUUUCCAGCCCCUCUGAGUCCGGGGGCACAUGCCUCCCUCCCAGUGUCCCCUCCCUGUCCUUCCCAGGAGCUUCCUGGCUAUCCCCAGCCCCUCUGCCCUGCCCCCGAGGUUUUUUAAUAAGCAGAGGCAGAGUAGACAGAGGGAGGCUGGGGUCUUCCUGUUGCCAGGAAGGGUGGGGCUCAGACAGGCGUAGCAAUGCCAGGCCAUGCGGGGCCAGCUUCGUGCCCGGGGGCUGAGGAUCAGUGGCUCAGAGAGAAAACAGUCAAGGCCACUCUGAGGGCUCCCAGGUUGGGGAGGAGCCUCCCUUCUCUCCAACGCCAUGCUUCCUGACAAACUCACCGAGGUCUGUGUCUCUGAUUAUUAAUUUCAAAGUUGAUUUCUGAUGAGAGAGAGAGGGAAGAAGGUGUGGGAAAUGGGGGAACCCUUUGGCUGGGAAAUGCGUCUUGGGAAUGGGCCUAGAUGAGUGAAUAUUCUGAUCAAACAAUUAAAAAUAGAGCAUGCUCCCGAGGCCCCAGCUGCCGAGGUUUUUCAGCAACUGUCACCAGCGGGUUCAUGGGGCAGGUGGCACUGGAAAGGAGUUUUUCCACAAACAACAAAUAUCAGAGAUGACAGGGUGCCCCCCACUUCCCUCCCAGUUCUCCCCAGACUCCCCUCUAGGGCCUGUGCAGCUUCAGGGCCGCCCUUCUCCCCUGCGGGGCCCGGCCGCAGCGGUGAAGUCAUCGCCAGAUGCCUUGGUAAUUGCUUUAAGAAUCUAACUUAAAAUAAGAUGAAAACUUAUAUUCCUGGGUAAGGAGUAAUUUCCCAUGUAAUAGUAAAUUAAUGAAAGGAUUAUACCAGGGGGCCUGGCGGGGAGGCCAUGCUCAUCUGAUAAAUGCAAGGGUUUCAGGCAAGACAACUCCAUUCCAGGAGGACCUUUGGGCCAGGUCCCAUGCUGGGGGUUCCUUGUGGGCUCCCCCAUGGGCGGCUGAGUUGGGAGGACACAUUCCAUGUGUGCUCAGCAUCCCUCUCAAUGACAGGAACCAGCUUUUCAAAACCUACAGAUGGGAAAGGCUCAGGUCUGGCCUCCACAGGCAUGAGAGGCCCUGUGUCAUCAGUUCGCCCAGGAAAGAGAGGAUUUCUGACACCCGAGAGUGUGAGACCCGAGGAGCAGAUGCGAGCUAGACUCCGGGCUGAGUUUCCAGCUCUCAGACCGUGUGGUCAGCUUCGUGGUGUCUCGAAAUAGGAUGACCAACCACCCCAGUUUGCCCAGAACUGCAAAGACCCAUGUGUGUGAACCCCCCCAGUCCUGGGCAAACUGGGAGGGUUAGUCAGCCCUGUUUGGAGGCAGGAGGAUGGGCUACUUGACAUGGUCCCACCCUCAGGGUCCUGGAGAGCCCAGGCACCUCUUGAAUGGACUACGUCUCUGUCCAGGAGGGGGACUUGCGGCUGGCUCCACUUAAACCCCCUCGUGCUACCAAAACUUGUUCCCAGGGUGCUGCAUUCCGCUAGGCGCAUGUGCUGGGGUGGGCAUGCUCGUGCCCCCCCGCCCCCUGCAAGGCAUGGCAGGGCACUGCUUGGAAGCUUGACCUGGCCUAAAAAAGGACUUGUAGCUGCGAUCCCACCGCUUUAACACUGAGUCUUCUCCCCCAACAUAUCACAGUCCAGGUGGGGCUUCUGGAGAGGAUGCGGACAAGGCAACCCCCACCCCCCAGCCCCUCACUCCCCCACCACCGUAAGUUUAUCAGCGCCUUCCUUCCGAGACAGCCACACCUAACAUCUCAUCUCUCCUCAUCGGUUCCCUUGGAGGAAGACAAGGAGCUGUCCCAUUUCCUAAGCGGGGAAGCUGGAGGCCCUGAGAUAGUGCUGGGUUUGUUCCCAAACACUAAAUGCCAGAGGACUUGGUGCGGGGCUCCCCUGAGCACUGUUCCAAAUGGCAGCACUGAGUGAGGACACACAGGCUUCCAGCCAUGGGUAUCUACUGUGCUGCCUGGCCCACGUCCCCAGAUGUCUGUGGCCCCUGUGUAUACCCCGCCUGUAGUCUUCGAACACAUCCCUGGGCUGCAGGGAUGCAAGAUAAACUGUAGUUGUUGAUGCAGAUGCAUUUUGAGCUUCUGGGGGGAAAGCCUCCUUUUCUAGAGGCAUCCCGGAGUGCCCAUCUUUGCAGAAACGAGUGCUCCCGUCUGUCCGCAGGGGAGGGGUGCAGGUGGGCGGAACGCACUCCGACUUGUCUCUCUGGCGAAAUGGAAGUGAAAGGACUGGACGCAAAGCCCUUCAGGAAGCAUGUCUAACCAAACGGGCAUUCUCCUAGGAGACAGGUUCACGAUGCAUGUUCGCUGGAUAUGUUUCUGUGUAAGCAGAGACCUUGCUGGAAGGGAAGAUGGGGACCUUACCCCCUGGUUCGCUGGGAGACCAUUUUCAGUUCAGCUCAGCGGUGGGUAUCCCCACUGGCUUUCUUUGCUACUAGAGGUGAUGGGACUUCCUUGAGAACUCCACGGGAUCAACUCACUGCUUUGCAGGCAGCUGUCCCAAGUGGGGUUUUAGCCUGCGGGCUGUAUUGAGUUUGCCCAGGUCUUUGCUUGGUUGUAAUCUGAAAAAGGACCGGCUUCUUUCCCAGUGUAGACCACACUGUGCUUUAGAAGGUGGGGAAGAUUUGCGCUGCCCUUCCCCCACACCUACCCUCAACCCAGAGGAAGGAACGUGGGGCAGUAGGGCUGAGAAUUCCUAGUCUAAACAACCCAGGAAAGCACGCUCAGAGAGCCAAGCCAGAACCCCAGAUGGUGUGAUCCGAUUGUAACUGGAAGGAUGGUGGCUUUGGUUGUUAGAUGUUAUGUGACCGUUGCUGUUCAAGCAGACACAUUGGUGACUUCCAGGCUGCAGAGAUCAGAGCAGGCUCUCCUGUAUUUAUCUUCUUGUACCCGCAGGGUUAGGGGACCGAGUGGAAUAGCUAGAAUGGACAGACAGGUCUGGAGAGCCAGGCACAAGCAACAGGGGGAUGCAGGCGCCAGCCCAACCACACCAAGCGCACCACACCUCCAGGGCGCCAUGUGGGGUCCCUUUCCCUGGCCUCCCUGAUAGGAAGGAUCACUUUGGGGCUCCUCGGGAGGCCUUCAGAUGGAGCUGAAGAGCCCCUAGGCAGGGCCAAGAGCCCAGAGAAGGAGAUGUUUUCUAUUUCCGGGUCCCUGGGGGGCCCAGGGGCAGAUUGAGACAGGCUCCUUGCAGGGAAGGUGUUAACAAACAGCAGGUGAUUAAACAUGACAAGCGGUGACAUUUCUGUUCAGGGUUCUCAGUCCCGGCAAAGCCAAGAAUGAAGCUAUAAACCCUGACAUUUUGUGUUAUGCACUGAGAGGUUUUUAAUAGACCUCGCUCCCUCUUCCCCACUCAACUUCUCUCCCUCCUUUCCUUCCCCUCUCGGCAUCCACUGCCCCACUGGAAACUCCUGCCUCCUGGAUUCCACCGGGCCCCCAGGAGCCUUCCCGGGCCCUUGGUCCGUAGACCCUCCUUCCUCUGCCCGUGCAGGGCUGAGUACAACCCUGCCAUCUGCCUCUCCCACUUCACGGUGAUAUUUCUCGUUGCCCCUUCUCCCCGUCCCAACACCCUCCACUUCCCUCCAGCCUUCACUGUCUCACCUCCUGUUUUUGGGUCCUGAUCUCACAGCCUCACCCUUAGCUGCGGCUGUCCCAGUUGUCUGGGACAGCAGGUGGCUGUCCCUGUGUGUUGUGUUUAUAACAUUUUCAGACAAACUUGAAAGUGGGUGUAGGGAGAUGGUGGGGCUUGAUAUGGGAUUUUCCCCCAUCUUUUUUCAAUCUCCUUUUCUCCUUUUGGGACAGGGACAGGAGGUGGAGGGAGAGAGUCGCACUUCAUUGCAAACAGUUGCAGGAUUUAUUCAGAAAGGGACUGGCCAGCAACAGUUGUUCCUCUCGCCGAGAAAUGUUGGAACAACUGGGGCCUCUUUUGUUCUCUGGGCAGAGCCCUGUGAAGGGCGUUUGGAGGUGAGCCUGGGGCUCAAGAGGGCAGGAGACCCAAGAGAGGGGGCUUCAGCUCAGUCCCACCCAGGGAGUCCCCACCCCACCCCUCCAGGAAAGGUUCCUGGAGCCCCGAGGGGAUCAGUCCAGAAGCCAGGCCACGUCCCUGGGGCCUAGCGCCGCCCUCAUGAGCUCGAGAAGCACUGGAUUUUCCACAUUCGCUCAGUAAAUAUUUGUUGGGCCAGACACCGCGCUGAAACAGUGGUCUCGUCCCAGGGAUCUUGCAGUCUGGUGAGGCAGAGGGCUAAUUAAACAAGUUCCUACAAAAGUGCUAAGACUAGGACAGGGUGCAGUGAGGACAGAGGGAGACGACGGUCCCGGGAGGCUGCCCAGAGAGAGGGAAAUGUCAGCUGGGGCCCGUGAAGGCUGUGUAGGAGGAGGAGUGGCAGGGCGCUGAGCUGAAGGAGCGAGCGGUUUCCGCCACUGACGGGGCAGCAUGCUGAGGGCCUGGCAGGGAGAGGCCGGUGCUGCCCCACGUGGGCUGGCAGGCAGGUGGAGUAGGGUCUGGGCUGUGCCCUUUGAUCUCUGAGUAACUGACCCCUUACAUACUCUUCCAUCCACCCUUCCACCGCCCCGACCCACCUGGGCCAGGCACGGAGGUCAGGGUGAGGAGGGGGGUGAGGGUGAUGGAUAAAAGACUUUAAGGUAAAAAAAAAAAAA
Molecule: long non-coding RNA, 6195 nt
Organism: Macaca fascicularis (crab-eating macaque)
Lineage: Eukaryota; Metazoa; Chordata; Mammalia; Primates; Cercopithecidae
Source: Ensembl